This 700-nucleotide ribosomal RNA is filed under the name Shewanella algae. RNAcentral describes it as "bacterial SSU rRNA". It matches the Rfam family "Bacterial small subunit ribosomal RNA", at positions 30 to 720 of the family's 1533-position model. Lineage: Bacteria; Pseudomonadati; Pseudomonadota; Gammaproteobacteria; Alteromonadales; Shewanellaceae. The record is from RNAcentral.
UUGACGCUGGCGGCAGGCCUAGCACAUGCAAGUCGAGCGGUAACAUUUCAAAAGCUUGCUUUUGAAGAUGACGAGCGGCGGACGGGUGAGUAAUGCCUGGGAAUUUGCCCAUUUGUGGGGGAUAACAGUUGGAAACGACUGCUAAUACCGCAUACGCCCUACGGGGGAAAGCAGGGGACCUUCGGGCCUUGCGCUGAUGGAUAAGCCCAGGUGGGAUUAGCUAGUAGGUGAGGUAAAGGCUCACCUAGGCGACGAUCCCUAGCUGGUCUGAGAGGAUGAUCAGCCACACUGGGACUGAGACACGGCCCAGACUCCUACGGGAGGCAGCAGUGGGGAAUAUUGCACAAUGGGGGAAACCCUGAUGCAGCCAUGCCGCGUGUGUGAAGAAGGCCUUCGGGUUGUAAAGCACUUUCAGCGAGGAGGAAAGGGUGUAAGUUAAUACCUUACAUCUGUGACGUUACUCGCAGAAGAAGCACCGGCUAACUCCGUGCCAGCAGCCGCGGUAAUACGGAGGGGUGCGAGCGUUAAUCGGAAUUACUGGGCGUAAAGCGUGCGCAGGCGGUUUGUUAAGCGAGAUGUGAAAGCCCCGGGCUCAACCUGGGAACCGCAUUUCGAACUGGCAAACUAGAGUCUUGUAGAGGGGGUAGAAUCCACGUGUAGCGGUGAAAUGCGUAAGAUCUGGAGGGAUACCGUGGCGAAG